Molecule: ribosomal RNA, 253 nt
Filed under: uncultured bacterium
Lineage: Bacteria
Description: partial 16S ribosomal RNA
Rfam family: Bacterial small subunit ribosomal RNA
Source: RNAcentral
UACGGGGGGAGCAAGCGUUGUUCGGAUUUACUGGGCGUAAAGGGCGCGUAGGCGGCGCAACAAGUCACUUGUGAAAUCUCCGGGCUUAACCCGGAGCGGCCAAGUGAUACUGUCGUGCCAGAGUGCGGAAGGGGCUACUGGAAUUCUCGGUGGUAGCGGUGAAAUGCGUAGAUAUCGAGAGGAACACCUGCGGCGAAGGCGGGUUGCUGGGCUGACACUGACGCUGAGGCGCGAAGCUAGGGUAGCAAACGGG